Molecule: transfer RNA, 73 nt
Filed under: Trichobilharzia regenti
Lineage: Eukaryota; Metazoa; Platyhelminthes; Trematoda; Strigeidida; Schistosomatidae
Rfam family: tRNA
About the family: Transfer RNA (tRNA) molecules are approximately 80 nucleotides in length. Their secondary structure includes four short double-helical elements and three loops (D, anti-codon, and T loops). Further hydrogen bonds mediate the characteristic L-shaped molecular structure. tRNAs have two regions of fundamental functional importance: the anti-codon, which is responsible for specific mRNA codon recognition, and the 3' end, to which the tRNAs corresponding amino acid is attached (by aminoacyl-tRNA synthetases). tRNAs cope with the degeneracy of the genetic code in two manners: having more than one tRNA (with a specific anti-codon) for a particular amino acid; and 'wobble' base-pairing, i.e. permitting non-standard base-pairing at the 3rd anti-codon position.
Source: Rfam by way of RNAcentral
GGGGGUAUAGCUCAGUAGUAGAGCAUUCGACUGCAAUAUCGACAGGUCCCCGGUUCAUACCCGGGUGCCCCUC